UACGGAGGGUGCAAGCGUUAUCCGGAAUCAUUGGGCGUAAAGAGUGCGUAGGCGGACUAUUAAGUCAGAUGUCAAAGACCAUAGCUCAACUAUGGGAAGGUAUUUGAAACUGGUAGUCUAGAGUUUUGCAGAGGUAUGCGGAAUUCUGUGUGUAGGGGUAAAAUCCGUAGAUACACAGAGGAACACCAAAAGCGAAGGCAGCAUACUGGGCAAAUACUGACGCUGUUGCACGAAAGCGUGGGUAGCGAACAGG
This 253-nucleotide unclassified non-coding RNA is filed under the name uncultured Candidatus Peregrinibacteria bacterium. RNAcentral's name for it is "contains 16S-23S intergenic spacer region". It matches the Rfam family "Bacterial small subunit ribosomal RNA", at positions 524 to 776 of the family's 1533-position model. Lineage: Bacteria; Candidatus Peregrinibacteriota. The record is from RNAcentral.